Passer domesticus (house sparrow) is the source of this 3340-nucleotide long non-coding RNA. RefSeq lists it as uncharacterized. The record is from RefSeq and is a predicted model, not a curated record. NCBI's taxonomy places the organism in Eukaryota, Metazoa, Chordata, Aves, Passeriformes, Passeridae. The transcript has 7 exons.
CCUUGUUCUUUUUGUAUUCAUCGCUUAUUUCCCUGGAAAGGAAAAAAAAAAAAAAAGGAAAAAAACCCUCUAGAUGUGAGGGCUCAAAUCACUGAAGAUGAGAAGCAGCAAAAGGAAAUAAAGAGGUCAAACACCUAAGUUAGCUUAUGAUUAAAAAGAAAUUAGUGGGGCUAUUUUUAAUUUGUUUAAAUAUAUUACUUUCUAUUAAAGAGGUCUUUAUAUUUCACUAAGUAUGAGAUGAAGUGUGUCACCAGAGGAAGAUUUUUUUUCAGUUUUAGCACCUUUUCUCUUCAAAACGUAGAAGUCUGAUAACACUGAAGCCACAAAUGUGGAUAGAGCGGGAAUGGCAGCAAUGUGGGACUUUCCCUCUACAGUACACCGCAGUCGCCUUCCAGUUGGGCUGGUUUGUGGGAAAUCAGGGAAGAGAGAUGUGGACUGUGCAUAACAGCACUCUGCAGUGGGAGAAGUGAGAGAAACUAAGCUACAUCCUGCAAGACUGGAGAUGGAGAGGAGGAAGUUUGAGCCUUCUCAGUGAACUUAAGCUUUUCUGCCACGGGGGAACUGGUGGAAAAGGGUUAGGAAAAUCAUGAGUUCAGAAAAUAUUCCUCCAGGUGUGAAGUCUGAUGUCAGUCAGCUUCAGAGAAACAGCACCAGCUGAGCUGAGGACCUGCAAGCAAGUGUCAGGUGCAGGAAGGUGAGAAAUGGGCAGAGCUUCCAGGGUGCUGAACCUUCUUCCUGUCCUAGAGACACACAAAACUCUCGUGCUCCAUCUGGCCAGACGUGAGCAGUGGGAUUUGAGUCCAGUCUCUCUCGGUGUCACCGUGCAGGGACAGGCAGAGAGCCUGUGGUGUCCCCUCCCCACCGCUGCAGAGGCUCCGGGCUGCCACUGCAGAUCAUUUGACAAAUUUCACGAAGUGGGGAAAAUGGACAACCCUGCUGGUAUCUUGUGAGCCCUUGUCACAGAACAGAGCUUGAACAAUUUCGAUUAAAGCAGUAUGUUCGAGACUGUCAUUAGACCUGCAUUAAAUUACAUAUCUGGAAUGUUAAAAAUAAAGAGUACUGAAGCUUAUUCACAGCUGCCUGUGGUAAAGGACCUUGAUAAUGAGACAUCACAGCCUGUUCUUGUCUGGUCAAUGAGACCGUCCAGUCCCUCUUGUCGUGUAAUUUGUGGUGGCUUUACGGACUUUGAAGCCAAUCUAAAAGACAAACCCCAAGCCUUUGGAUGCUGCUCGGCCAGGACAAACCCCAAAGCAUGGUAUGUUCGACAGUUACUUGUCUAUACAGCAGCUUUGUUACACACUGCUGAGAUGCACAAAAUCCUCUGUAGAAGGAUCAGACUGGCUACUUCCAUUUGAUUCUGUAAAGUGCUUUAUGAUCAUUCUGUGAAUGUAACAGCACAAGUAAAAAUAUCUCUGUUUUAUUAAGAGUUUCAGUUAAAGUGUUCAAUACACAGAUUUUAUCGUGAGAGAGCAUCACAAAGACUGAGUACAACAUAAUGGCAAGCCAGGUAUUGUUAUGAUUAUCAUUACUACUAUUUAUAUAUGAUCACUGAAGUACUAAGGGAAAACUGGGAAAUGGAGUUCCUGAGUCCCACAGAGCUCAUAGUAACAGCUGUUUUUGGAGGAUGCAACAAUAGCAGACCAGCUCUGCUUCAUGGAACAAUUAAUGGUGCAUACAGCCCAGUCUGGAGAUCUCUGAUCCCGAAUGGGUUUUCCCAUUUUCAAAAAUCAAAGAAGGUAGAAUUUCAGUUGGAUCCUGCCUUUUUUUAUUCUGGUGCCUCUUACUCUUCCCAUUGCCUCUUUUCUCUGCCUGUUGGUGUGAAGGGCACCCGUGCACAUUAGAACUGUGAUGUGUCUGUUUAUCCAGCAAAGCAGCUGGGAACUCCUCAUCCAAGUGGUAUCUGAAUGCUUUUGCAGGGGAGAGAUAUUCUGCCUUCCUCACUCGUCCUUCCCAUUGGAGAUUUUUAAGUGUCUUGGCCUCCUAAAAGCUAAAGUGGAGCUUUUGAUUGAGAUUUAAACCGAGUGUAAAUCUUUGAAAAGCAGAAAGCCCAAUAGGGGCUGUAUCACCAGAGCAGUGAAUGGGCUGAGCUGAGCAGGGCAGAGGCAGGACUGGCCCAAAAUCCUGUCCUUACACCAAAGAGCCGUGACCUUGUGUAACACUCAGAGCUCUGUUUGGCUUUGGCUGUUCCCUAAUCCUGACCCUUGACCAACACCUGAAGGCUACAGGGAAGCUUUUCUCCAUCCUUAUCUUGACUGUCAUUCCCUGGCAGAUUCCAGCUGCUGAGCUCAACACCCUGAAAAAAAAAGAAGCUGGGGAGUUGUUUUCCACUAGGAUUUAUAUAGAUGGGAUGCUUGGAAGUUAAAUCUUCCAGCCACCACAGUGCACCAUAGUGUAAGACAAAGAGCAGGAGAUAAAUUUUCCUGCCUUUGAAAUUCCUGCUCAUGUCACUCUCUGAGCAAAUUUUUACUAUUUUGACACUGGUGAGAAGAGCUAUUCCAGUGUGAGCCUCUUUCUCUCUGCACUGCAGUGCAGGAUGAAGCUAAGGAUGAGCAAUUGGAGCGCUGUCAGGAUUACACCCAGGUCAGAUUUUUCAUUCUGCUAAAAGAUGCUUUUUUGACAUGGGAAUCAGGAAAAUACAUUGAUGCAAUGUGUUGAAAAGGACCAAAAGGUUGUUAUUUGCUCCCACCAAUACAGAGAGACACAACCCUCCUGUAAAGCAAAAAUAUUUUCCAGUGAAAACACAAACUUUGACACUGAGUGCAACAUAACGGGAGGGCCCAAGAGGGGCUUUGGGGAGCUCCUCAGGGAGAGGGGGUUUUUCCAUGGGCUUUUUUGCUCGUGUCUGUAGGGUGAGCCCACAAAUGUUUGGGUAGAGAAGGCAGCACGCAUCCAGAUUUUAAAAGAAAUAAAAUAAAAGGGAUUGGCUAUUUUUCCUUCUCAUGGAUGAGGUUACGAGGUUAAUAAAAGAGUUAAUCCCAGCCUGCUCUGCAAAAGGGAACAGCUCACAUUUGUGAGACUUCAAAAGGCUUCAGAGUGUCUGUGUAUGGAUGUUGUUAUUUCCUGUCAGGGCUAUCCCAAGAAGGUGGGGGCUGGGAGCUGAUUUUUUGGAAGAAGAGUUUGGCCUUUAACUAAAUCAGUUGGAGUGGAAAUAAAAAGGUUAGUAUAAAAUUAUUUUGAGAGUAAACUCCAAUUCAAUAAAAUUCUGUGUAUUUUUUUUCUUUUUUUUUCCCCUGUGAAAAUCUAAAAUUAAAACUUACUACACAGCAGUGGAGGCCGACCAGAGCAUUUCAACCAGAUGGCCCAGAGGAUCUGCUUGGGUUUUUCUUGUUUGGUGUUUUUU